UACAGAGGUCCCGAGCGUUGUUCGGAUUCACUGGGCGUAAAGGGUGCGCAGGUGGCUUGACAAGUUUGAUGUGAAAUCUCCGGGCUUAACCCGGAAAAUGCAUUGAAUACUGUAUGAGCUAGAGGAUUGGAGGGGGGACUGGAAUUCUCGGUGUAGCAGUGAAAUGCGUAGAUAUCGAGAGGAACACCAGUGGCGAAGGCGAGUCCCUGGACAAUCCCUGACACUGAGGCACGAAAGCCGGGGGAGCAAACAGG
Molecule: ribosomal RNA, 254 nt
Filed under: uncultured bacterium
Lineage: Bacteria
Description: partial 16S ribosomal RNA
Rfam family: Bacterial small subunit ribosomal RNA
Source: RNAcentral